UACGUAGGGUGCGAGCGUUAAUCGGAAUUACUGGGCGUAAAGCGUGCGUAGACGGUUAUGUAAGUCAGGUGUGAAAGCCCCGGGCUCAACCUGGGAAUUGCAUUUGAGACUGCAUAGCUAGGGUGCGGAAGAGGGAAGCGGAAUUUCCGGUGUAGCGGUGAAAUGCGUAGAUAUCGGGAGGAACACCAGUGGCGAAGGCGGCGAUCUGGACAGAUAUUGACGCUGAGGUGCGAAAGCGUGGGGAGCAAACAGG
This 253-nucleotide ribosomal RNA is filed under the name uncultured bacterium. RNAcentral describes it as "partial 16S ribosomal RNA". It matches the Rfam family "Bacterial small subunit ribosomal RNA", at positions 524 to 776 of the family's 1533-position model. The record is from RNAcentral.